UCUCGCUUCUGCCCCUCCGCGGGCGCCAUAUUCCAAACUUGCUGGGCCCCAGCCUGACGUGACAAGCUCCCUCCCCGGAGUGAAGAUACAAUGAGUGGAGACCCAUGGCCUGCGCCAUGCCACAGUGCGGCUCCCCACGGAGGAGGACUCCAUAGUAGGCUGAAGCCAUCGGGCCUCCCGGGAGCCUGUUUGGCAGCCUAAGAACUUUCCAGGCUCAUUUCAGCAGCGUGUGGACAGAGCCCCACAGGGAAACCCACGCACGAGAGCUGGAUCCUGUUCCCGUCUGGCCCUGAGGUUGAUUCCAUAGAUGACUGUGAAAACAGAUGGGGAGAGAACAGUCAGCUCGUUCUUACCACAGAAGCGAGAAGACUUACUUUCUCCCCCCUUGAGAACUGUCAUCCGGAGAUGGGAAUUCCCAUCCGUCUUCUGCUAAUUCUCUUGUUCUGUGGCCUUACGCAAGUCACUUGGCUUCUCUGUAGCUCAGUUUCCUCUCCCGCGGAAGGAGAGUUGGUGGUCUGAACUUGACUCUAGGUCAGUGAGGCUGAAGCCCGCCCUUUACAACCAGCUGGGGGAAGUUUUGUCAGCCAGCCUCUGUGCCAGGCCUAUGACACGAGAAUGUGUGGGAGGCAGACCCAGGUGAUGCCCAGGCCUUGGGGAGGAGGUGGGGGGGAUCCUGGAGUGGAUGGCUCCCCCCUCGUCUCUCAGCCCUGACUCCCCAUGCCCAUCCCUGUCCUAUGAGCCACAGCUUCUUUUCCUGACUCAAGGAUGGAUGUGCUUAAGCCCCAAGCCCCCGAGAGGGAGCUUUCUCAUCCUGCUUCCGUGGGCAUCCUCUGGGGACAGGCCCUGAGGACAUCUGAAGGCCUCUGUCAAGAGAUGGUGACAACAAAGCUCUGUACUUAAGAGUUUCCAAAAGGGAGAAUUCCUGCCAGUCAUAAAUUACCCCCUCUGACGCUGAUGAUUUUUCUGUUGUUAGGGAUGAUUAUUUGCAUGGAGGCAGGAAGCAUGGCCCCGCUGUUCUUUCUCUGCUGGCUGAGAAGCAGGACAUCUGCCAAACCCCGAGUCACCUCGCUUCGGAAGGACUGUGAGAACAAUGCAGGAGGAGUGGCCAUGGCCACCAGAAGACAUGACACCAUGUGCAGACAAGGACGACAAGUUAGUGAAACAGUCUUCACAGAAAAGGGGAACACAGGCUGAUACCAACGUGGGAACACUUGGCGGAGAGCGUUCUCACCUGCUGCCAGGUGAGUGCAGCCAGGUUGGCGACAUCUCCCAACUCUGCUGAAGGGGAUACCCCACCUCCUGGUACCACCACCACCACCACCACCACCACCACGCAACCCUCCCUCUUGCUGGCGAGGAGCGGCCAGGCAGCCCUGAAGACCCAGAAAUGCCAGAAGCGGGACGCCAGGCAGCAAGCAGCCUAUCUGUGUGCACUUGAUGCAGAGGUCAGAAUGAAGUGGUCACAAUGGUAAGAUCUAAGACCUGCUGCUAAGUCAGAAUCACAUGCGAAUUACGGCAUUUGUAGAAAAAGCAAAACCAACGUAAUGUAAAUAAACACACAGAGCAACGGAAAGGAUCUGGAAAAAUUUGAACUCUUGUGUUGGUGUGGACGUAGGACCGGGGACGGGAGCCGAACAAGCUGGGUUUGAAAUAAAUGAGAUCUGAAAUAAAUGUAGACACACACAUAUCUAUAGUGAUGAGACCGUAUCUGUGUAACGCUCGCCUCAUUAAAAUGAAAAACACGAACACAUCACCAGCUUAAAACGAAGCUCGGCCCGUCUCACGUUCCCAGCAUUUAUUUCAGAGAACUGAUUAUAGAAUGGCUUGCUCUGGAUUUUAUAGCCUAGACCCCG
Molecule: long non-coding RNA, 1853 nt
Filed under: Zalophus californianus (California sea lion)
Lineage: Eukaryota; Metazoa; Chordata; Mammalia; Carnivora; Otariidae
Description: lncRNA (ENSZCAG00015009125.1)
Source: RNAcentral